This 1378-nucleotide unclassified non-coding RNA is filed under the name Hevea brasiliensis (rubber tree). The record is from RNAcentral. Lineage: Eukaryota; Viridiplantae; Streptophyta; Magnoliopsida; Malpighiales; Euphorbiaceae.
GAGCAUAAUAAUCCAUUGGAUAAUCUACUUGUGUCUCUUCCUUCACUUCCUCACCACUCUUAUCACAAGCACCACAAGACUCAUUCUUUGAACACUUCAUUACUUCAUCACGACAUAUAUCUGAAUUCUUUGAUGUCGUCCUCUCCCACCAUCCAGACAAAUCACCCAAUGCAAUCUCCGCCUCAAAUGGUGUUAGCAAAGGCUUUUUAAAUGCAUCUCCCCAAUCAAUUGACAACCUCGGACAAGCAAUCUGAAUCCAGGCAUCCACUGCAUCCUCAAACAAUGCAAUCCUCGUGGGAGAUAUCUCCGACAUCAACACAACUGUCCAAGUCAUCCCCUUUUCGGACAUUUUCUUCUCUAACCUAUCCAAUAUCCUUGGAUUCCCUUGCCUACCUAAUGUCCCAAGCACUAUCCCCCAAUUCUUCGCCCCCCUGGCUUUUUCAAUCGCUCUCUUCCUCUCCUCCUUCAUUCCCUUAUGAUCAUACUCCUCCACAAACAACUUCCCUAUAAACGGAUCAUAUCUGUAAGUCUUUAUCCCCGGAUUCGCUAUCAUAAACGCCUCCAAAUGAAACCUACCGUCAGCCACAAAUAUCAAAACUACAUUCUCUCCAUCAGAAAAUCUGUUCUUAACACUCGGGGCAGUACAGCCGAGUACCUCCCCAGCUGAUAACGGUUUAGCUUGAGGAAUCAAAAUACUAAACCCCAAUUUUUCAAGUUCGGGCUUAACCGCCCGAAUUGCAGAAGCAAAUUGAAUUGUCCCAGCCAUAAUGAUAUUGUCAUACGUAUCGGAAUUAUAAAAAUUGAGUUUGAGUUCAUUCAACAACCUGUGAACAUCGAUUGAGAUUUCGACGAAUAUAUAAAGGCAUGGGAUAGUGGUGGAAUCAAUAGGCACGAGGCAGCUAUGGCCGAAAUGAAUGAGGAGAUCAGCGGAAAGCGCUCCCGCCGAGAGGUCGUCAACGCAACACGCGCCGAAAGUCACGUCGCCGAGGAUGAAACAGUGAGUGGCGGAAGUGAAUGUGGAGAGUAUAUCGGAGAUGAUGAGUGAGUACAUGAGGAGACCCUCAGGGAACUGCAGGGCCACACGCUUGGCACUUGAAGUUCGCACUCGCCAUACACACUUGUGGAUUUCGAAGUUGUAGUUUUGAGGUAAAAGUGAUAUGGCGGCGUUGAGUGCUGCAUCGUUUAGGAUGGAGUCUGGUAUUUGGUUCUUCACGAACCUCUUCGGACGCGGCCGGGUUGACUGCUGCAGUGACUGCUGAUCUCCAGCGUCAACUGCGGUCGUCGCUGACGCCGCCGCCGCCGGAGUAGGGUUCAGUGGGAGAAGGCCGCCGUGUUCUUUCUCCAUAGUUUGUAAACUGGCGGUGUAGAUGUAAUGGAG